This 299-nucleotide unclassified non-coding RNA is filed under the name plant metagenome. Its description in RNAcentral is "partial contains 5.8S ribosomal RNA, internal transcribed spacer 2, and large subunit ribosomal RNA". The stretch from base 1 to 105 matches the Rfam family "5.8S ribosomal RNA", at positions 50 to 154 of the family's 154-position model. The record is from RNAcentral.
GAAAUGCGAUAAGUAAUGUGAAUUGCAGAAUUCAGUGAAUCAUCGAAUCUUUGAACGCACAUUGCGCCCCCUGGUAUUCCGGGGGGCAUGCCUGUUCGAGCGUCAUUUCACCACUCAAGCCUCGCUUGGUAUUGGGCGACGCGGUCCGCCGCGCGCCUGAAAUCGACCGGCUGGGUCUUCCGUCCCCUCAGCGUUGUGGAAACUAUUCGCUAAAGGGUGCCGCGGGAGGUCACGCCGCAAAACAACCCCAUUUCUAAGGUUGACCUCGGAUCAGGUAGGGAUACCCGCUGAACUUAAGC